GACGAACUCUGGCGGCGCGCUUAACACAUGCAAGUCGAACGGAAAGGCCCUGCUUUUGUGGGGUGCUCGAGUGGCGAACGGGUGAGUAACACGUGAGUAACCUGCCCUUGACUUUGGGAUAACUUCAGGAAACUGGGGCUAAUACCGGAUAGGAGCUCCUGCUGCAUGGUGGGGGUUGGAAAGUUUCGGCGGUUGGGGAUGGACUCGCGGCUUAUCAGCUUGUUGGUGGGGUAGUGGCUUACCAAGGCUUUGACGGGUAGCCGGCCUGAGAGGGUGACCGGCCACAUUGGGACUGAGAUACGGCCCAGACUCCUACGGGAGGCAGCAGUGGGGAAUAUUGCACAAUGGGCGGAAGCCUGAUGCAGCAACGCCGCGUGCGGGAUGACGGCCUUCGGGUUGUAAACCGCUUUCGCCUGUGACGAAGCGUGAGUGACGGUAAUGGGUAAAGAAGCACCGGCUAACUACGUGCCAGCAGCCGCGGUGAUACGUAGGGUGCGAGCGUUGUCCGGAUUUAUUGGGCGUAAAGGGCUCGUAGGUGGUUGAUCGCGUCGGAAGUGUAAUCUUGGGGCUUAACCCUGAGCGUGCUUUCGAUACGGGUUGACUUGAGGAAGGUAGGGGAGAAUGGAAUUCCUGGUGGAGCGGUGGAAUGCGCAGAUAUCAGGAGGAACACCAGUGGCGAAGGCGGUUCUCUGGGCCUUUCCUGACGCUGAGGAGCGAAAGCGUGGGGAGCGAACAGGCUUAGAUACCCUGGUAGUCCACGCUGUAAACGGUGGGUACUAGGUGUGGGGUCCAUUCCACGGGUUCCGUGCCGUAGCUAACGCUUUAAGUACCCCGCCUGGGGAGUACGGCCGCAAGGCUAAAACUCAAAGGAAUUGACGGGGCCCCGCACAAGCGGCGGAGCAUGCGGAUUAAUUCGAUGCAACGCGUAGAACCUUACCUGGGUUUGACAUGGAUCGGGAGUGCUCAGAGAUGGGUGUGCCUCUUUUGGGGUCGGUUCACAGGUGGUGCAUGGCUGUCGUCAGCUCGUGUCGUGAGAUGUUGGGUUAAGUCCCGCAACGAGCGCAACCCUUGUUCACUGUUGCCAGCACGUUAUGGUGGGGACUCAGUGGAGACCGCCGGGGUCAACUCGGAGGAAGGUGGGGAUGACGUCAAGUCAUCAUGCCCCUUAUGUCCAGGGCUUCACGCAUGCUACAAUGGCUGGUACAGAGAGUGGCGAGCCUGUGAGGGUGAGCGAAUCUCGGAAAGCCGGUCUCAGUUCGGAUUGGGGUCUGCAACUCGACCUCAUGAAGUCGGAGUCGCUAGUAAUCGCAGAUCAGCAACGCUGCGGUGAAUACGUUCCCGGGGCU
This 1346-nucleotide ribosomal RNA is filed under the name uncultured bacterium. RNAcentral's name for it is "partial 16S ribosomal RNA". It matches the Rfam family "Bacterial small subunit ribosomal RNA", at positions 28 to 1381 of the family's 1533-position model. The record is from RNAcentral.